GCCAUCGGCCAUACCAUGCUGAAUGCGCCGGUUCUCGUCCGAUCUCCGAAGCUAAGCAGCAUUGGGCUCGGUCAGUACUUGGAAGGGAGACCACCUUGGAACACCGAGUGCUGGUGGCA
Molecule: ribosomal RNA, 119 nt
Filed under: Rhipicephalus microplus (southern cattle tick)
Lineage: Eukaryota; Metazoa; Arthropoda; Arachnida; Ixodida; Ixodidae
Source: RNAcentral